UGGCUCAGUUGGUAGAGCAUGGUGUUUGAAAUGCCAGGGUUGUGAGUUCGAUUCCCAC
Molecule: transfer RNA, 58 nt
Filed under: Salmo salar (Atlantic salmon)
Lineage: Eukaryota; Metazoa; Chordata; Actinopteri; Salmoniformes; Salmonidae
Rfam family: tRNA
About the family: Transfer RNA (tRNA) molecules are approximately 80 nucleotides in length. Their secondary structure includes four short double-helical elements and three loops (D, anti-codon, and T loops).
Source: Rfam by way of RNAcentral